GUGGCUGUAGCUCAGUUGGUAGAGCGCCCGGUUGUGGUCCGGGAGGUUCGCGGGUUCAAACCCCGUCAGUCACC
Molecule: transfer RNA, 74 nt
Filed under: Micromonospora pisi
Lineage: Bacteria; Bacillati; Actinomycetota; Actinomycetes; Micromonosporales; Micromonosporaceae
Description: Micromonospora sp. GUI15 tRNA
Rfam family: tRNA
About the family: Transfer RNA (tRNA) molecules are approximately 80 nucleotides in length.
Source: Rfam by way of RNAcentral